Molecule: long non-coding RNA, 426 nt
Filed under: Physcomitrium patens
Lineage: Eukaryota; Viridiplantae; Streptophyta; Bryopsida; Funariales; Funariaceae
Description: long non-coding RNA (PPAT_LNC011730)
Source: RNAcentral
CUCGAUAGAUGGCUUAAUUUAGAGUCUGGAGAGGCGGUUAAGUUUAGGGUCUUGAGUGGCGGCUAGUUAUAGAUGAAUGUGGAUGAAGUCUAUAUAUAUUAGAUGUGUACUCUGAUUAUAAGUAACGGGUGUUGGAAGUAUGAGUUAUCUCAUUCGACACUUUUCUUAUGUGCAACCUUGUUGAUUUCUACUUUCUUGUGUUAUGCUUAUAGUAUUUCUUCAAUAGAUUAUGGGUCCACUCACUCUCUGUUGUGCUAUUCAAGUAAGUUGAAGUCAUCUUCUCUUUAUUGCUUUUGUAUGGAUUAGAUCUUAUGGUAUUUAUUGAUGUUAGGUUUGUUGGUAUCAGGAGGCUAAACCUUGCCGUUUGUCGAAACAUUAAACCUAGCCGCGUAUCGAGAGCCUAGCCGCCACUUAGUCCUCAGUUGC